GGAGAGGUGGCCGAGUGGUCGAAGGCGCACGCCUGGAAAGUGUGUAGGCGGUGAUCCCGUCUCCGGGGUUCGAAUCCCCGUCUCUCCGCCA
This 91-nucleotide transfer RNA is filed under the name Ahrensia sp. RNAcentral describes it as "tRNA-Ser". It matches the Rfam family "tRNA". From Rfam's summary of the family: Transfer RNA (tRNA) molecules are approximately 80 nucleotides in length. The record is from RNAcentral. Lineage: Bacteria; Pseudomonadati; Pseudomonadota; Alphaproteobacteria; Hyphomicrobiales; Ahrensiaceae.